Saimiri boliviensis boliviensis (Bolivian squirrel monkey) is the source of this 4015-nucleotide non-coding RNA. The record is from RefSeq and is a predicted model, not a curated record. Lineage: Eukaryota; Metazoa; Chordata; Mammalia; Primates; Cebidae.
UGAAACGAGCCCAACUGGAAAGCAGCAUCACCGCCAAGACACAUCCGGAGUCCACACACAAACACCGGAGGCUGCCGGCGAAACUCUCCCAGCGGAGAGCGGGGUUUGGCCCCUUUUUCCCCCCGCCGGCAGCCACAGGAGUCCCGGGGCCCGCGCGCCGGCUGCAACCCAGCUCCGGCUCUAGCCCUGUGGAGGCUACGCGCGCAAGCCUGGUUCCACCCGGGCCCGGCCGGGUCCUAGCCCCGAAGGGUCGGGACAACCGAGGAACGCGGACCGACCCGCCCUGCCGCAAUGCAGCCUACAGCAGCCGGAAAGGAAGCUCCGCGGGGUCCCAAGGUACCGGGGUCACGGCCGGGCGCACGCGGAGCCUCCCAAGACCCUGCGAGCCGGCGCCGUCCCGGACCCCGCGACCCGCUCUUGGGAUGGCAGGGACCGGGUCGGGGAGACCUCCGCGGACCCAGCAGAGGCGGGAGACCCUGAGCCGCGCCCGGUGCCUGAGCGGCCAGCAGGUCCCGCUCCCCGCCUGCGACGCCCGCGUCCGUCCGGCUCCGCGGGCGCCCCCGGCCAGCCGCGCCCUCCAGUCCCUCGGCCUCCCUCCCCGAGCGCACUCACGUAGACAGAGCUGAUGUCGGAUCUGUCGUAGAAGCGGAGCGCCCCACUCAGCUCCAGGGCCGGGGAGACCAGGUCGUCCCCGUCCUCCAGCUCCAGGUCCCCGUGUGCGGGGCCGAAGGGGAAGAGCUCCUGGCGGCUCAGGCAGCCCCCGGGCCCCGCCAGCAGCAGCGGCAGCAGCAGCGCCCGCGUCCACGCAGCGCGGCUCCAGCUACUCGCGGCCAACAUGUUCCCGAACUGCGCUCCCGCAAACCCCGUCCCGCGGCCGGAGCAGAGGAAGGCGGGCAUGUAACCCGACGCCCCUGGCAGCCCCCUCGCCUCCCGCCUCCCGGCGUUCCCACCCCGGGAAAUAGGGGAGGGGAGCCGAAGGGAAAGGGGAGGGCCCCGCCCCGUCCAGCGGGCGCGCCGCGGGGCAGCCCAAUGGCCGCGAGGGGGAGGGCGAGGGGCGACGCCGAACCUCCCGCCUUACCCGCCGCGGGGCCUGGGGCGCGGGUGCCUGAGAUUCCCGACACCAGCCCGGCUCGCACCGAACCGGCGCCUCGGCAUGGGGAGCAGAGCGCCGCACUCGCACCGUGGUCCUCCGGUUCGGGUUGGGCGGUGGAGAGCCCGCGACGUGGAAACGCUCCGGAUUCAGAAACGGCGCCCACCCCAUCGCCGCUCGGCGGCGUCCGGGGUCCAAUUCGCUGGUCCCGGGCUGGAAGACCGAGUGGGAGCUGGGAGUGAGCCAAGGGACCGAGCCACCAGCACGUUCCUGCGCUCAUCCACCCGUUCAUUCCGCUUGUUUUUGAUUGCCUGAUCCCGUGCCCCGCACUGUGGAGGUUCUCCAGGAAGCGGUGUCCCACCUUCCGAGGCAAAGUCGCCAGUGUACAACACAAGCCAGUGUCAGAUGAGGACACUGAGACUCAGAGUAAUUGCCUUGCUCAAGGACACUCAGUCAGCCAGAGGCAAUGCCAGCUCUUCAAAUACAGAGUUCUUUCCACGGCAGAGCUGUGAAACAGUGACCCAGAUCCACAGUGAACGUUCUGUCUUUGUCUGAAGAGGUUGCUGCACCCAGAGUUGGAGAUACUUGCAUUUGAAUAACCUGACGUCUCCUGUCCAGUAUACUGCUGAGCCCCGCCCCACUUGCCCGCCUGCCCUCCUCCUGCGCAGAGAAUCCCAGAUGCCCUGCAGGCUCCGCGGUCAUGGAGAUCCCCGGGAGCCUGUGCAAGAAAGUCAAGCUGAGCAAUAACGUGCAGAGAACGCAGAGAGCAACUAAUGUCACCCACCAAGCCCAUCAAAUCAGCAGGAACAAGAAAGGUCAGGUUGGGGGACCAGAGGUGCCUUUCGUGGCUGCACAGUUUAGCUAACAGGCUUGACUGGGGCAGGAAAGACUACGGUGAGCAUGGCUUUGAAGAGUACCUGGUUGGCCGUGGUAUUCCAUGCUACACUCUGGGCUGGCAAUAUUCGUCACGGUCUCAAUAAAAAUCUUGGCUUUAGUCUUGAGGACAGAGAAGAGAAUGUUCGACACAUAGCAGAAGUUACAAGACUAUUUGCAGGUGCUGGCUUAGUGUGCAUCACAGUUUUAUAUCACCUUAUUCUCAGAUGGCAAUGAUGCAAGGCAGAUUCAUGAGGGUGCAAGUUUCCCGUUUUUUGAAGUAUUUGUUGAUGCUCCUCUGCAUGUUUGUGAAUAGAGGGAUGUCAAAGGACUCUACAAAAAAGCCCAGGCAGGAGAAAUUAAAGGUUUCACUGGGAUCGAUUCUGAAUAUGAAAAGCCAGAGGCCCCUGAAUUGGUGCUGAAAACACUGUGAUGUUUUGAUGCCAUCAAGACUCCUGUGAUGUCAAUGACUGGGUCCAGCAAGUGGUGAAACUUCUACAGGAACGAGGUGUUGUACCUGUAGAUGCAUCUUAUGAAGUAAAAUAACCGUAUGUGCCAGAAAAUAAACUUCAUUUGGCAAAAACAGAUGCAGAAACAUUACCAGCACUGAAAAUUAAUGAAGUGGAUAUGCAGUGGAUGCAGGUUUUGACAGAAGGUUGGGCAAGCCCAUUGAAUGGCUUUAUGAGAGAGAGGGAGUCAUGGCAGUACCUUCAUUUUGAUUGUCUUCUGGAUGGUGGUGUCGUCAACUUGUCAGGACCUAUAGUUCUGACAAGUUCUGCUACUCAUGAAGAUAAAGAGAGGCUGGACGGCUGGACAGCAUUUACUCUGAUGAAUGAGGACGCCAUGUGGCCAUUCUUCACAAUCCAGAGUUUUAUGAGCACAGGAAAGAGGAGCGCUGUGCCAGACAGUGGGGAACAACAUGCAAGAACCACCCCCACAUCAAGAUGGUUAUGGGACAAGGAGAUUGGUUGAUUGGAGAUCUUCAAGUCUUGGACCAAGUUUAUUGCAAUGAUGGUCUUGAUCAGUAUCAUCUUACUCCUGCUGAGCUAAAGCAUAAAUUUAAAGAUAUGAAUGCUGAUGCUGUCUUUGCAUUUCAGUUACACAACCCAGUGCACAAUGGACAUGCCCUGUGAAUGCAGGAUACCCAUAAGCACACUUCUAGAGAGGGGCUACCGGUGCCCCAUCCUCCUCCUUCACUCUCUGGGUAGCUGGACAAAGGAUGACGAUGUUCUUUCGUUGUGGCAUUUGAAGCAGCAUGCUGUAGUGCGGAGGAAGGAGUCCUGAAUCCUGAGACGACAGUGGUGGCCAUCUUCCCAUCUCCUACGAUGUACGCCGGACCAGCUGAGGUCCGGUGGCAUUGCAGAGCACAGAUGGUUGCGGGAGCCAACGUUUACAUUGUUGGACGAGACCCUGCUGGCAUGCCUCAUCCAGAAACAAGAAGGAUCUUUAUGAGCCAAGUCAUGAGGCCAAAGGGCUGACGAUGGCCCCUGGUUUAAUCACUUUGGAAAUAGUUCCCUUUCGAGUUGCAGCUUACAACAAGAAAAAGGAGUGUAUGGACUCCGAUGACUCUGAACACCAUGAAGACUUGGAAUUUAUUUCAGGAACAUGAAUGCAGAAACUUGCCCGAGAAGGCCAGAAAUCACCUGAAGGUUUCAUGGCUCCCAAGGCUUGGACUGUGCUGAUGGAAUACUAUAAAUUCUUGGAGAAAGCUUAGGCUGCUAACCCAGUCACUCCACCUUUGAAAUGUUACUUGUAACAAGAGGGGACCACACAGUCUCGGUUGGCAUUUUUCGUGGUGUCUGUCUGGGCAUGCAUCCUAAAAACAGACUUCCUUAACUUGCAUCAGUUUUGGUCUGCCUUAUGAGUUUUGUUUUGAAUGAGUAUAACACACUGAUGGUUUUAAUGUAUCUUUGCCAUUUAUUAUAGUUACAUUCUUAUAAUACAAUUUUAAACUUUUGUCCUUUUAUAUUUAUGCUUUUAUCUCAUGAUUUUUUCAAGCUGUUAUAUUAGUUGUAACCAGUAGUACACACGUUGAGUCUUGCUUUUUUCCUU